GUAGGUGGCAAGCGUUGUCCGGAUUUACUGGGCGUAAAGAGCGCGCAGGCGGUCGUUCAAGUCGCGUGUGAAAGCCCCCGGCUCAACUGGGGAGGGUCACGCGAUACUGAUCGACUCGAAGGCAGGAGAGGGUAGUGGAAUUCCCGGUGUAGUGGUGAAAUGCGUAGAUAUCGGGAGGAACACCAGUGGCGAAGGCGACUACCUGGCCUGUUCUUGACGCUGAGGCGCGAAAGCUAAGGGAGCAAACGGGAUUAGAUACCCCGGUAGUCCUAGCCGUAAACGAUGGACACUAGGCGUUGGUGGUAUCAACCCCGCCAGUGCCGAAGCUAACGCAUUAAGUGUCCCGCCUGGGGAGUACGGCCGCAAGGCUA
RNAcentral lists this ribosomal RNA (371 nucleotides) under uncultured bacterium. RNAcentral's name for it is "bacterial SSU rRNA". It matches the Rfam family "Bacterial small subunit ribosomal RNA", at positions 527 to 896 of the family's 1533-position model. The record is from RNAcentral.